CAAACCCCAGUUAUUAGAUAUUUAAUCCAAUAUUAACCAAACAAAUAAAUACAUGGAGAGAGAGAGGGAGAGGGAGAGACAGAGCGGCGUGGUGGGGAAGAAAGAGAUGAGCUGUUUCUGUGAGCACUGAGUUGAAAACUUUGAAGAACCAUCUGACGAGAACCACUAGAAAGGAAAAGCUAUGGAACUGGGGAGGAAAGUCGUAAAAUUCCCCACAGUUCUCCUUUAGGUGGCUUUACAAGGCCCUGGAGGUCUCUCCACUUCAAAGGCGCUGCGCUGGAAAGGAGCUGGUGCGUCUCGGGUGUGGCUCGCGUCAGGAAGAUGACGGGGCUAUGGUUAGCAGAGCUGCUAAGGAAGCUCUGGCUCCACAUCAAAGACGGGGUGAACGGCACUUCUGUGUUUUCGGUUAAAAUUAAACAGGUUUAAAGGGCAGGUGUGCCAUUUUUUAGCUUUCAGAAAAGUCGUUAUGAAGCCCAACACAUGCAGGGCAAAGUGCACAGGAGCCGCACAGAGAGAGAUUUUGCAAGAGAACCCGCAGCACAGCCAGCACCCAGGUGUCGAUGUUGGGGGAGGAACCCAACAUUUCACACUUGCUGGGCCAGCAGUCUACCACUGAGCUACAUCUGUGGCAAUGAAACCAUUUCUGAAGCAGGCAGCAGGACAGAGCUGGCUGUGGGCUGUCGCCUGCUCACCCCCUUGGGCUGACGCUGAUGCAGUUGAUGAAAAAUCAAGACAUGUGAGGCUAUAUAACUUCUCCAAAGACACGCAGCCCUCCUGGGUGCGCACGGCUCUGACUGCCCUGCUUGUGGGGUGAGGAGGUGGACUGAGGAUAACGGGCCUGGAAGGCCACCCAGCACGGGACGAUCUGCACAGUGUUGCCAGCUUGGGCCGCCAGCACCCUUUUCCAGCUUGGGACUGGCCCUGUGGCCCCUCUGGCAUGUCCUGUCCAGGCUAAGGGGCUCCCUGCAGGUGACGAUGGCGCUGGUGAGAGGCGGGGUCAGAGUCCCGGGCCCUCCUGGCACCACCCAAGUUGGUCUUCUAGAUGCAGGGGCUUGGAGUCCUCGGUCCACCUUCCUGACUUCCGGUGGCCAAGCACACCUGGCCAGGAAGGCGAGCCCUACCCGCCCUGGCUGAGAGCUGAUGUGCAGAUGUAAUAUUUUCCUGGUACCAGGGAUUGAACCCGGCCCUGUCACCAGCCCUUUUACAUUUUGAAACAGGGUCUUGCUAACAUGCUUGGCUCGGCUUGCAGUUUUGUUGCUCCUGCCUCUGCCUCCCAGAGCGCUGGGAUUACAGGCAUGGACCACCAUGCCCUUGUAGCCUGCAGGCUGCCCUGGGGUUGACUGGUCUCCAUCUUUCCCUGGACAGCCCUGCCGCUUGUAUGCAGGGUUUCUUUCCUUACCUUAAGGCUUCCAGAGCCUCUCUCGGCUUUUCAACUUUCUUUUCAGAGAUCGGAACUUCCUUCUCGCUUUGUGUGGUCCCUGGGACCUGGCAGAGGCGGUGUGGAAACGGGCGCCUACUUUCCGGUCUGUCUGUUUUGUUCUGGAUGGGCCAUUUGCCACCCAUUUGUGGAGUUUAGCUGAAAGGUUAAGAAUUUCCCAUUAAAACACUUGUUAUCUCUGCUAUCUCUUUCUGAGGCGGGGCCUCACUGUGCAGUUCAGGCUGGCCUUGACCUGUCUCUGUAUCCCAGGCUGGCCUUGAAUGCUCUGCAGUCCUCCUGCCUCAGCUUCGAGUGCAAAGUUGCAAGUUUCACUACCUUGCCAGUCCCUUUGGAUGAGAAUUCGGUGGGGAGUCUUUCUCGAAGUGGCUCAGGACUCCAGUGUCCCCUGCACACAGAGACUGUCCCCGGGAGAGCUCCCAGGGAAACGUCUGCCUCGGCUCUCCCCACCGCCUCCAGCUGUCUCUCAGAGAUGGUGGUAACGGAGGACCCUCUGGUCACAUGUGCAGCUCACAGAGCAGCACAGGCACAGCACUGUGAAGUGUCUGUGGGGACCCUGACCCAGCCCUCCUGCAGAUCCAGGCCCUUCAUAUGCAGACUCCAUGUUUACACUCGCUUCUCACACUGACCAGAGAAUACAUAGACACACUGUGGCUAGAGAAAGAAAAUGGGGACCAGAGAGAGCACCUGACCUCCUGAGGACCCCAUGGCCAGAAAACAGCGGAACUGGCCCCAGAGGUCCUGGUCGCUGGUCCGGCAGCCGCCUGGUCUUCCCAACCACACAGCCGUGAGCUCCUGUAACUCAAGUCAGGCUAAGCUUUUCCAGCUGAAGUCAAGGAGAGGGAACUGGGCAGAGCUUCUCUGCGGACUCCCGAAGGACACUGGCUGAGCUGGUGUUGGGACCUUCUCCUCGUUCUGAACCCAUCUUUAUAAAACAUUCUGCUCGUGUGCAGAGGACAAGGAGUCCCCGGAUGACUCCCAGAGCCACUUCAGGGUCUGCAAAACUGGAGCCAUCUGAGAGCACUCCUCCCCGGCGCUGGUCUUGUGUGCUCUUGGAGGGGUUCUCAUCAGGCUUCCGCCCCACCCAGAAGUCGGGAACCACGGGGCACACGGGUCCCUACCUCACACCCUGCAGAAUGUGCAUCAUGAGGCUCAGGUUCAAUUACUUUCCACAUCCACGUGGCUCAUCUUGGAGAGACAUGGAACACAAACCUGUGGUUUCUUACUCCCAGUGUCAAAUCCCACUGCUGGUAGACACGGCCACGGAGUGGGGCUGAACAGCAGUGCAGGGGUGUCUGGGGCUCUGGGCCAGCCGGCGUAUAGCACACAGAGAGAAGCCGUCGGUCGGAACCUGGUAUGUGGGACUGGCUCUGAGGAGGACAGUCUGGGGUUUCCACGGGUUCCCACGGUGGCCUCACCAUGGCAGCAGGAAAGCAAGGCCCCAAGAUGAACCCCUCAGGAUGAACUCUACCGUGCCGGGCCACCCCAUCACCAGCCCACCGGACGUCAUACAUCAGACUGGCUGGGGCCACUGGCUGGGGCUCGGGGCUGUGACAUCAUGGCCAUGCAAUUUGACUUUACAGUCUGAAAGGACCAACUUGGGAGUUUUAUCAUGUUUCUGCCGGCUGGGCAUGAAGUCAGCUGGCCGGUGUGAGCCGGGGAGUGUUUCACUUGUAAUUAGCUGGGUGCUUUUUUUAAAAAACAUUUUAAUUUUUUGAUAUUUUGCCUACACCGCAGUGAACCUUGAGCCAGCCUGCACUCACUACCCCCAGCGGAAGCCGAGAGGGUAAGGAAACAGUGUUGAAGCUGGAGAGCCCGUGCUGAGGUCUGAGAUCCCGUGCUGAGGGGAGCUCCAGCAAAAGGCUCAUCCUCUCCUGACCUCGGUUUCCAGAGCUCCGCUGUGGAAUCCUCUCUGUCUGCACUGUGGCAUCUGCCUCCUUCUUGCAUCCUCCAGACCACUUCCUGGGCGGGGCAGCUGGAUAAGCAUUUGGAAACUCAAAGAUGGAAAAAAAGUUGCCUGAAGUUUACUCAAGAUGAGUGACGGGGAAGGAUUUGAAACUGGGUCUUCUGACCGCAGCCUGCUCUCCUGGAACCUACUACACUUUAUCCCUAGGCUCGCUCCAGGGAGAAGCUGGCCGGAGGCAGAAAGAAUGCUGGUGCCCUUGUCACGGGCGCCGUUAGCAUCCUCAAAGCCCUACCCGGAACCUGAGAGGCCGGUUCUCGGGAAAACAGACAUCAGGACGAAAACUGUGCCUUGGCUCAUUAGAACCAAAACUCUGACUUGAGUUGCAGUAACUGGAUGAGACUUUCACUUGCCGGCUGCCUCUCCUGGAGGUGGGCUUGACUUACGGACCCUCCCGGCUACCUCGGCCACGUCUGUAACCUCAGCGGUUCGGGAUCAACAGAUGAGGAGUUUCUAACCAACCCCAUGUUCUCUGAGCCGGUUGCAGGCGUGGAGCUGCUAGCCCCUGUCUCAGAACAAACUGUUAAUCAGAAGGAAAUGUCACACCAUAAAUCGACAUGAAUUGGGUAUGACCGUCCCUGAAUGGUUUUACCCUGCCAAGAGCAUUCCUGGCUUUCUAACACUGGUUGACACUGGCCCUGGCCCAGCGGUUUCCAGUUUUUCUUUAUGGAGGCGAAUGGACUAAACUCAGCACUUUCUCGGAGCCUCACAGAGGCACACUGACAUCAUUUGGACGCUACAGGAACCGCAUAUUAGGCGGAAUUCCACUCUGGGUUCCACUUCCGCUGCCCCCCCGAAAUCAGAAUCCCGAGAGUAUGCUUAAGUGUGGGGAGCUCGGCCCGGAGCUGUGAUUCUCUGCAGUUUUAAUGACGCGUCCCUCAUCCAUUUGCCCCAGGAGGAGAGGGGGUCUGCCUGGGGGCCUUUGCUUAUUGGCUCCCUUCGAUGCCUGGCUCUUCUAGUACCUAACUCAAGAAUUUCAAGAAGAUAGUGAAGAACUGCCUUUCGACAUUUUGAAUGUGGAACAUAGCACACGUAGUCCAAACCCUGUGGCUUAAUAUUCCACCACCAGCUGCAACAAAAACCCAACAACAACAAAAACAAAACGCUCAAACCACACUGCUCGAGAAGGAAAAAGCACUGGAGUCGGGGUCUUGCUGAAGGAUACGACGAAUGUGGCAAAAACAAAUAAAUAAAACCAGGAAUCCGCCUUCCUUAGCCAGGGUGCUUUCCGUGCACCCAGCAGGAGAGGGAGAUGACCACGGAAUUUUUCUGCUGUAUUGGCCAGUGGGAAGGCUCUGGUUUUUAGAGCCCAGGAGAACUGAGUCCAAGUGCGCUACUUCUUUGUGUGUGCCUAGUUUCUUAGUUUAGCUGGGUCUUAGUUUCCCAAUUUGUAAAAUAGAGAAGACUAAUAUACACCUUCUGAGGGCGUUGUGACACCACAGGAGGACUCAGGAGGUAUUUGUGAACCUUGAGGCUCUUUUCCAUGCGACUCCUGAGUCACGAUGAUAGAAACUCAAACUUGCUUGAGCGUAAAAUUUGCCAGGUGGCCUGCAUGGUUUGGGAUAGAUUUGGGUUCAAGGAGGCUCGUUCCGUAGGCAUCGCGAGAAAUGGUAAAGUUCUUCUGAAUCAGCGGCCUUCUCAGGCCGGCUUCUUUGUGGUGUGGCACACGGCUGUCAGCAGCUCCAGGUUUCUGUCCACAAUGUUCCAGAAAGAACAGUGCGGUCGGGGAGGAGGCCCAGCCAGCAGUGCUCCAAAAGCAAGGAAGAGAGUCCCUUGGGCAGAGCUUUCGGCUCUCAGGCGACCUGGGACCCCUCUGAGUGAGCCAGUGAACACCAGGGACCCACGCCCCUCCCCACAAACCAGUGUGCGUACAAAACUCACGGCUCUUAGGUCUGCAGGUGCACAAGCUGAAUGCCUAAUGAACAGAAUGCUCACUCUGUACCGACUCUGGUGCAAUCACUCCUUGGGAAUUAUCUCCUUUAAUCCUUCCAGCAACCGGAAGAGGUACCUACUGUUACAUUCCUUCAUUAUAAAUACAAGAAAACUAAAACCAAAAUGUUAUGUAACCAGGAAAAGUUUUCACAAAGGUGUGCAAAUAAGUCGGAUUGAACCAAGCUGUCUCUGGAGGGAGAGGAAAUGAAUCAACCCACCACACCCCGAGGCCUCUGAAGACCCCCUUCCCUGGCAUACUGUUCCCCCCUGCUUCCUGAAUCCAAAGCCAAACAGACCAAGGCUGUCCCCCAGCCUGACCACGAAAGCCAAAGCCCCCCAAGUGCACACCCUCCCUGCUCGGAAGGAUUCAGUUCCAGAGGUGUUACUAAAAGAUGUCCAGACGCUUUGAAGUAAUGAGCUGUCUCGUUCCAGUGGAAACUUCCUCUCCGCAGUCUUCCUAACCCCGAAGAAUGUGCAGAAAUCCCUCCUCCGCCUCAGGGUAUCAGAUGUAGUCACAGCCCCAGCCCUCACCCUCUCCCCCCUCCAGUUACACUACCAGUCCUCAGUAAGCCCAGGCGCAAACAACAUAGGAACAGAGCCCCAGAACAGAGGCCUCCUGCUGACAGAGACAGGCAGCAGGCCACAACUAAUCAUGCACAUUUAUUGGAGAGCUGGUAAGCAAAUCAAUGUCAUCAAUGAUUUAUUCUCUAAUUUGCUUUGAGUAUGCACCUCAUAAAUCAAUAAUAGAAAAUGGCAUUAAGAGUUGGUGUUAACUGUCAGUAAAAGGCAGAAUACUGCCUCUGUCCAUUAAAGAAUGUGUGUGGUGAGUAUGGCCCUGUGUUAUAUUAGGUGUGGUACAUUUUAAAAUUGCUUUUUUCACGUAAGAAGCAGUGUUAGGGGUUUGAAGAGGACGAAGAGCUGUAAAUCCACAGCUUCGGAUGCCGGUGUUCCUGCAACGCUCAGUAAUCUGACACAGAAGCCCCGUUCAGGAGGAUUCGGGGAGUGGACAGAUCGUUCUUUGGUUCCAGGCCAGGUUAAAUGAACCCAGAACCGGUGUCAUUGCUGACAUCACAUCAGAAAGACACAGAACACAAUAACAUUUGGCAUUGUACUUUUUUGGGUACCAGGUAAAAUGUACUCUGUCUUUUCCUGGGGGGUACCUGUAGGUUACGGAAAUUAAGCAAUCAUCAGAUCAUUUCAUAGAUAAGAAGGUAACAAAAAUUAUUAUUAAAAACCACACUCUUCACUUGGAUGAAGACGAGAAGCCAUCACAGUAUAGGAUGAAUUUCCAUUUGAGUCUCGCCUGGAAACACCGGUCAUAUUCAAACGCGUGGUACAAGGGGGAAAUGUAUGUUUACAGGAGGAAGCUGGCUCCUCGUCUUAGGAAAUCGGUGGCCACAAGCCACAAAGGGUCCAGCGGGGAGAAGUUGAUGUGCAAGGCUGGGGUGAGUGCAGACUUGGAGUCCAGUACAUGUAGGGUGCAGUCCGGCUCCACUAACUCCCUGGUCAGUGAGCGGGGCUGACCACUGUCACAUCCCAGCGUCUCUGCUUCCCUGCUGCUGCAUCCAUCCCCUCAGUAACAAAACAAAACAAAACAAAACAAGCCUCACUAACACCCACUCCAUGAACUGCAUGAAGGACUACUGAAGAUAUCUAUCUUGAAUCUGUCCAGGGACUCCUUUUAUGAAACUUGCCCCCUGCAUUUUAUCUGUCAGGUUAUUAAAUUUCUCAUGUUGGGACAUCAUGAUUCUGCUGUUUAGCAACUUAUCAGUUUAUGGUCAGUCACUUGACCCACGCUGAGCCAAUCCGAGCACUCCUCUGAAAUUUAGGAACUCAGUAUGAUGUGUAAAUCAUGGGGAUUGGUGGCUGUGGGUUUCUAAUCACAUGGCUUAGAAAAGCAGAAAAAACAGUCUGCAGAGAAUGCGACUGAUAAACAGACACACAGAAAGGAGUAGAUGGGAGGACAGAGACUAACCCAGCACUGCAAGCUGCCAGCCUGUCCUCCUCAGCAGCUCUCCCUCAGCUGGGCUUCACGAAUAAUCUAACAGCACCGUCACGUGCUUUGCAUGCUGGCUCGAACGGGACAGGCACCCCUUCAGUCACGUUUUCCUUCACGUAAGGAUAAAGUAACACAUGCAAACACUCAGUAUGUAGGAGAGGCUCCAUUACGUCAGGUCCUAUCCCCUCCCCUCUUCUGUUGACUCCCUAGCAGGUCCUGACGAGUAUUCCACAGCUCUGCUCCCUCACAGGCACGGUAUUAGAUCUUCCCCCUGCAGGGACAGGGUACCCCGUGCACUCAGCUUGGAGGAGCGGUUUGCUGUGGCUCAUGGCUUGAAGGGUUCAGUCCACGGUCACUGGCUCCAAGGUUGAAAUGUCUUGGUGGAGAACGUACUGGAAGAAGGCUGCUCACCUCGGGAAGCAGAGACGGGAAAUGCUUGAGAGAGGGAGGCCUGGGGACAGGAUCCACGCCAGUGACCUGCUGUCUCCAGCUGGCCGCACCUCCUAAUUAGCCUGUUCACCCGUGAGCUCAUCGAUGGAACCGACUGGUCCUCUGAUGAGCUUAGUGUCACCUCUGUAGGCUCCACCUCUGGACAUUGCUGUGCCAGAGAUGGAGCCCUCCACACAUGUUCUGGGGAGACUUGGGGAGACCUCGUAACAGGUACCUGCAAGCACACUGUGCCCUGCUGAGGAUGGCAGAGAGGGACGGUGGUACAGGAGAGGGCGCCCAGUCACUCCUCUGGGGUAAGUACUCUGCCUCCACUGGCCCCUGUUCACUUGCGCUGUCUGCCUGCAUGCCCUGUAGACCUUGAUCUUGCUUUCUGUGUAGAAACUGUCCCACUUUUCUCCCAGGGCCGGAGGUGAAUGGCACCCUCCCCAGGAAAUGGUUUAUGUUUCCCUCAAGUCGAUGUGGCAUUUGCUGUGGUCUCAUUGAUGCCACUUGCCUAGGCUUCCCUCCCACCUGCCUGCUCCAUGGUGAGCCUGGAGCUCGGCCCUCUCCUUGCAGGGUAGUGAACAAGAGCUCUGGAGAAGGACAGUCUGGCUCCCUCAGGCUCCAGCACGGGUGAACUGGGGCGAAUGAUUUAAUUCCUCUCCACCUCUGUUUCCUCGCCUGCAGAAUGGAGAUACAGGUAUCUUCAAUUUGGAUCAGGUGCCUGUUAAUACUGCUGUAGUCUCUUCCAAUUCUUUCCUUUGGGGCACAUAUCAUAAGUUCCACUAAUGGGGUGAUCAAUCACUUGCAUAUUUCUUCUCUGUUACCAGAGGAGCUCUAAUGAGGCAGAGACCGCAUCUACAUCAUGUAUUGGCUCAUUUCAAGUAUCUAGGACUCGGUUAAAUGAGUGAGUGGAUGAGCCAGCGGGCGUGUUUAUGCUGUGCGUGUCUUAUCUUCCUGGAUGGCUGUUCCUCUUGCCCAUCUUCCCGCCCCACAGUGCCCAGCAGGGAGUAAGUGUUGAACACGAAGCAGACUGGAGAUAAAAGGGCAAUCUUGUGGUGAGCAGGCACCUGUGGGGAGCAGUGAGAAUCUCCCCAGAACCCAGCCGUCUUCCUGCAGUGUUGGCCUCCGCGUCCUCUCUGUAAGAGCAGAGUAACCAGCCAUAACCUGCCGCGCUCCAUCACCAGACCUCGGACUGCCAGUUCCCAAACCGGGCAAACCUUGUCCAGUUCCCAUGACCUCAUCGAACAGAAUCACGGGCCAGGUGGGCCCCACCCUGCCUUCAGCUCCCUGGUGCAGGCACCAGACAGACAGCCGCAGGCUCGAUGGCGGGAGGGACUCGAAGACCGUCCUUGCUUGUCGGAUGGAGUUGCAGCCCUGGCCACUUACCAAAGAAAGGUGUGUCCACAUAAACCCAAGUCACGGUUUCAAGUCAGCCUGCCCCAGGCACGCUGGACCUGGGAGCCUGGAUUUGAGAUCUACCAGAAUCAAGUGUCUGCACAUAAGCUGGUGUUUAUUAUUGUCUUCAAUAAUUGGGUAAAUUGUUUAAAACAACUGAGACCUGAAAGAAGUAUGUGAGAUCGUACAUGUAGAAAUAUGUAAACAUUUGGCUCAUAUAAACAUUUUUAUCGAAUUGUGAAUUCACCACCUACUCUCUCUAAAACAUGGAGCUAGCUGUGACCAGGGAUACAUCCACAAACAUAAUAUGAAACGGGCCAAUGCCUGGUGAUCUUACCGAUAAAUAAGGGAAUGAUAUCGUAAUAACUUGCAUUGAUUAAAGUCUUUUUGAAUGCAGGUAACAAAAAACACCAGCUCACACUGGUUUCAGUAGUGGAGUAGCAAGCCCAGCUCUAGUUAUGAAGGAUUUAGAGUUGGCUGAUUUUAAUAAUGCCGAGCACCCGGAGCCUUCCCAUUUUCCCACUUGGCAUUUUCAGUAUUAGCUCGUUUCUCAGUUUAAGAAGCUGCUGGGUUCCUCUGUGCCAGUCCCCCAUGUGACACUGCUCAAGACAUUGUCCAGGGACAGCAAGAGGCUGUCUUAUGCUGUCUCCUUCGCAGAAUACAGGGUGCGUUUCCUCAGUCCCAGCCAUUCUCCCCUCCGUUUUAGUUUUCCAGAUGGGUCCCAGUCCUACCCCUACAUCAAACACCAGCAAAAUGGGUUGGAGACCAGAAGGAUGAGGGUUUAUUCCCAGGGAACUGGUGGGGUUAGUGGCCCCGAGUAAGGUGACCAACAAUCCCUACUAGGAUAUUUAAUACCAGUCAGUGAUAUCUAUCAGAACAUCUUGUGUGCACUUGGCAUUGAACGGGACCCAGGUCCUUCUCUUCCAUGGCAUCACUUGAAUCUAAACUCUGUGAACUCAGGGAUCUGUGCGCUCUGUUCUGGGCUGUGCCUCAAACACACAGAGAGUGCCCGACACACAGUAGGACUCAGCGAUAUCUGUUGAAUGAAUAAAAUUCUGGCUAUGUGGUUGCACUUUGUUUUUCCCUUGCGGUAACAGGAAUUUAUGGAGAUUAUCUGGCCAUCUAGUUAUGAAGUGUUACAGAGGGAGCUGAACUUGUAUCUGCCAGACUCUGAAUCCAGUGCUUACAUGAAUCACUUUGACCUGCUGUCUUCCUUAUUAGUGAAUUACAGAUAAGGUGUUCUGGAAUUUCUGAAGACCUUGUAUUAAUUCUUUAAAGUUAGGAGACUUCCUAGGGAAGAUGUGUAUGAUUCCUGUAUGAGUCCUAAACAUGUAUGUUCUUACAGAUAACAGCAAAUCUGCUUCUGCUUUGGGUCUGUUACAGUCUAUGCCUGCACUGGCUCUCUCUGUCCCCCACACACCCUCCCUCCUACCCUGACAGUCUGUGGAUUAAGCUCAGAUCACAGCCUCAGCAAAACCACUGCCCACUUCUGUGACCCCAAUCAGGAAGUGCAUCUCUCACAAACUGUUUUCUCAUCUGUGAAAUGGGAAUCAUCACUCUUGUCCUGACCACCACAGCAUGGGGGUUUCGAGUCCCUUGAGAUAACAUUGCAGAGGACUUUGGAGGAAGUAAACAUAGGUAAAAUCUGGAUCCCGAAAGGCUUUAAUGGGCGACAUGAACAGCAAACAUGCCAAAGCUUCGGUGGUGCAGGAGCCCAGCCUGAAGGAUCCGGGGGCAUCGAGAUGCUGCAGAGUCCUUGGCUUUCUCUGCAAGCAUUGGCCAGACUCUCUGGCCAGACUUCAGGGACCACCACAGACCCGGCCCAGAACAAGCAAGAAAGGCACCGAACUCCGCUGCCCAGCUUCCCGUCUUCCUGAAGUGUUUUCACUGGAAGCUUCUUUCUUCUUCCUGUCUGGGAAAAUCUGUUCUCAAGAAAUUAGCUCUUAAGAAAAAUCAAAAAAGAAACUCCCUUCCACCAUCCUGCCUUGGAAUUUCACCAGGCUGCACUUCCAAUCUUGACCAGAAAUGAGCCCUGACUCACAGCUCUGCUCGGGGUGAGGGGAGCUUGAGCGCCCCGUUUGUCUCCCCAGGAGCCGACAUCCUGAUGGUUAUCAGCACACAGCGAGCUGCAGGGAGCCUUCCCUCGGAAAAAACAUGGGGGAAAUUCACGCCGGGGAAUUCCGCUCUCGCCUCGCUGGACUUGAUCGGUCUGAGAGCUUCCGUACCCUGUUCUCUACCACCUCGCCCGUGCCCAGUAGGGCACAGAUCCUGCCACUCAUCUCCUCACCCGAGUCACAUUUUCCUUCAGGACUCACCCCGACCUCAAGUCCACUCACGCCGCCCCGGGACAGCACUGCAGCCCCUGCGGUCAGAGGCAGUGAGGGCGGCCGCAUUCCGUACUGACGGCCCGGUCUGCUCUCCGCGUGGGCACACAUUCCCGCCUCAGCAGCAGGGCGCAGCUGCUGCCAUCUUUGUUUUAGGGACAUGGAAAAACUACACCAGCGUGAGUCAUUAAGCAGUGGGCCCAAGGGAACUUACAAAGGACUGGGUGGGACUGAAAGCCAGGCAGGCUGGCUCAGAGAUGUGGUUUGGACCAGAACUCCACAGUCUCCUACCCUGCUCAGAGGAGGUUCUGAAGGUUCAGAAGCAUAGCAGGCAGUGAGAAAGAAGAGGAAGUCCAAGCAGGAGAGCGAACUGUGGGGUGUGUUUGCCGGCUUCCCUCAGCUUUCAGAGCUGGUUUGCACAAAGCCAGCUCCUGAAGGGGUUCCACUUGGCCCGUGCUAAGGAACUGAUGCAUUUCUGGUCAAGGCGGCUACGAAGACAGCUGACCUGGACCUGGCCUGGCUCCUCUGUCGUCUGUUACCCGUUUUUAUCUCCUCAUCUGGUCACUCCUAAUCUCCUAAUUAACCGGAAUUCCCCACGCGUGACUGCUCUGGGCCCCAGCGGAUCCACCUCUGCGAGCUCACACUGGGUUACUAUUCAGCGUCUUCUGCAUGUGCUUCACUGGAGAAGAAGAUCUGAUUUUUGGUGAAGUCCGUAUUAUCAGUUUUUUCUUUAGAGGGCGCGCUUUCCAAUCUAAGAGCUAUUUCCCCAGCCCUAAGUGGGAGGUUUUCUCUAUAUUUUCUUCUAAAUGGUAUUUUUUAUGUUUUGCAUUUAAACAUACAAUCUAUUUUGAGUUAAUAUUUAUACAAGGUCUUAAGCUUACGUCAAGUUCCAUUUUUUAAUAGAUAAAAGACUUUAUGGAUACAGAGCUUCUCUAGCGCCAUUUGCUGGAAAGUCGUCCCUUCCUCCGUGGAAUGCAAUCUGCUGAAAAUCAGUAGUGGGAUAAGCAGCAGGGUAGCUGUGCCUGCAUGCUGGGCUCAGCGUUUCAGCAGAGUGUGGUGUCCUCCGGGCCCUGGACACGCCCUCGCUCCACGCACGGCCUCGUCCUGCUGUCUUCUGACUAACGCUGGCAUCCUAUGUCGCUUCCUCCCCCCUGUGUUCCCAACCCAUCCAUAUUAUUGAUAGAAUUUUUGGCGCGGCUACAAAGAUAAGAAAUAUGAAAUAAAAGUGGCCUUUAUUUUAAGAA
Molecule: long non-coding RNA, 12724 nt
Organism: Cavia porcellus (domestic guinea pig)
Lineage: Eukaryota; Metazoa; Chordata; Mammalia; Rodentia; Caviidae
Exons: 7
Source: RefSeq, a predicted model, not a curated record